CCUGUGACAUAUGGAAGUUCCCAGGCCAGGGAUCGAAUCCUAGCUGCAGCUACAGUAACUCACUGUGCUGAGCCAGGGAUUGAACCAGCACUGCUGCAGAGACACCACCAGAUCCUUAACCGAGUGCACCACAGUGGGAACUCCAAUCAAAUAUUUAAAUAGGAAAUGAUUAAUACUUUCUUAUUACAAUUUAUAUAUAUAAAUAUAUACAUAUGCUUAGCCUCCAAAUCAGCAUCUGAUAAGAGGGGGAAUACCUGAAGUCAAGUUUAAGGCAUGGACUCCCAUUAUUUCUACCACUUAUUAUGAUUGGAGGUAUUAGCAAACAUAAUUAGUAAAAAAAAAAGAAUUGGAAAGGAAAAGAUAAAAUUAUCUCUAUUUGCUGAAGACAUGAUAGAAUACCUAGAAAACUAGAAUAUAAAAACAUAUAAAAAUCAACACAAAAGAAAAGAAACCAAGAUUAAAUGCUUGAGUAUAAACUUAGAAAUUUGCAACACUUACAUGAAUGAAAGUUUAAAACUAACUCCUGAUGGACUGAGAAAUUCAAGAGUAAAUUUGACUAAGUGGAAUGAUGUCUCUCGUUCUUGGUCAAUUCAUCAUCAUAAAAAUAUUAGCUCUCUCCAAGUUAAUAUGUACGUUUAACCUGAAACCAAUAAAAGUUUGGAUUGAAAUAGGGUCUACUCAAGGUAACUGACUGAUAUCUUUUAAGUCUCUUCCUAUUUACAGCGCUUCUUAGUCUCUCACCCUUUCCCUUUUCCUCACACUAAGACCACCAUCCCCAGGUAAUCUCUCUAGCAAGACAGACCUCAUUAUGCGAUGGCUGUUUUCUGAGAACAAGGAGGAGGCAGCAAGAUCUUUAAGAUGCAGCCUUGCAAGCUGCGUGUCACUUCUGACACAUAUUAUUAAUCAUAGUCAGUCACUGGGCCAGCCCAGAUUCAAGGAAAAGGGAAAUAGACUCUUAUCUCAAUUUGAAAAACUGGCAAAGUAACAUUGUAAAAAAUAAAAAAGCAUGUGGGAUGGGAACUACUGUUACAGCCAUCUUUGCAAACACAAUCUACCAUAAAAUGCAAAUGAAAACUACAAAAAAACUUUCGCAUCCAUCAAAUUGCAAAAAUCUAAAAGUUGACAGUGGCAGGCUCGAAAGAAAUAGGCAAUCUCAUGCACUGCAGGUGGAAGUAGAGUGUGGUAAAGGCGCUAUGCAAGGGAAUCUGACAAUAAUUACCCUUUGACAGCAAUCAAUCAUAAUCCUACUUCUACCUACUUGAAUAGAAUAUGUACAUAUGCUGGUUGCGUUAACUUCACUUUUCUUUUCCUUGACCCAUAAGAGUAAGCAGUACAGAAGCUAUGAUUUUCAUUCUUUUAAAAUAACUAAAAGCAUCAUCAACUGAUAUGCUGAGCACCAUUGCUGGUCUUAUAUUCUGAUAAACAGAGGAACUCACGGUAUAUCUGAUAAGGUCUGAUUCUGCAAGUAACUUAAUAUUCUGCAUAUUUAUGUAAAGAUGAACUUUAGCUUCCAAGUUAUUCUUAAAUUAAUAUGUAAUGAAAUCAUUUGUCUGGGUAUUUCCUAUGCAUUCCCGUUAAUCUCCUAAUGACUUUAUAUUAGGCAUUGCACCUCACACUCCAAAAUUAGUAACAGACUUAUCAGAACUAUUUUCACAUAUACAUAUACUCCAUGUACACCUGAACAUAAGCAGGUUUAUUUCUAACUAUCCCUCAGAAGUCUUCUUUGUUGAGGCCUCACAAAAUCUCUUUACAAGGAGUACUCUCAAUUAUUUAUUUGAAUUUCAGGUAAUAGUUGGGAAAUCACAUUAGACUGAAGCCACUUCUAUCAAUGUUACUUUCAGAAAGCUAAAAAUAAAUAAAUAAAUAAAUAAGCCACCAGGUGAAGUAUUUAAAAACAAGACAUCUUAGUUCCCAUUGUGGCUGAAUGGGUUAAGAACCCAAAUAGUAUCCAUGAGGAUGGGGGUUUGAUCCCUGGCCUUGCUCAGUGGGUUAAGGAUCCGGUGUUACUGUGAGCUGCAGCACAGGCCACAGAUGACGCUGGGAUCUGGUGUUGCUGUGGCUGUGGCAUAUGCCUUAGCUGCAGCUCCGAUUCAACCCCAGCCUGGGAACUUACAUAUGCCACAGGUGUGGCCCUGAAAAGAAAAAUAAUAAUAAAAAAAAAAGAGAUAAAGAAAUAUAACAAUGACUUAGUUAUUAUUCUUAGAGACAUGAUCUCAAAAACAAGCAUAGUAUGCAUUACAACAAGCAUUUUAAAGAUCACUUUUGGCACAACACGGUAAAUCAAUUAUACUCUAAUUUUUAAAAAGUAAAAAAAUAAAGAUCACUUUUAAGAACAAUAGAAGUGGUUAUACAAUGCAGAAAUUAAUUACCUACAGGAUGCAUGAAAACCAUUUCUAAUUUGAUAUUUAUACAAUGAAUAAUCUGAAGCAUGAAAUUUCUUUUAUCAUACCUGUGUAAAACAUUCCUAUCUUUCAAAACAAAUUAUUUUUCCUAUUAUAGUUGCUUUAUAAUGUUCUGCCAAUUUCUGCUGUACAGCAGAGACCGUCACACACACACGCACACAUUCUUUUUCUCACAUUAUCCUCCAUCAUGUUCCAUCACAAGUGA
RNAcentral lists this long non-coding RNA (2607 nucleotides) under Sus scrofa (pig). Its description in RNAcentral is "lncRNA (ENSSSCG00005035790.1)". Lineage: Eukaryota; Metazoa; Chordata; Mammalia; Artiodactyla; Suidae. The record is from RNAcentral.